Non-coding RNA from Schistosoma haematobium, 45 nucleotides. The record is from Rfam. NCBI's taxonomy places the organism in Eukaryota, Metazoa, Platyhelminthes, Trematoda, Strigeidida, Schistosomatidae.
AUCCAGCUGACGAGUCUCAAAUGGGACGAAACACACACCCUGGAU